GAUGAAGAACGCAGUGAAAUGCGAUACUUGGUGUGAAUUGCAGAAUCCCGUGAACCAUCGAGUCUUUGAACGCAAGUUGCGCCCGAAGCCAUCAGGUUGAGGGCACGUCUGCCUGGGCGUCACAUAUCGUUGCCCAAUGCCUAUUGCAGUGCAAUAGGAAUUUCUAGGGCGAAUGAUGGCUUCCCGUGAGCAUUGUUGCCUCGCGGUUGGUUGAAAAUCGAGUCCUUGGUAGGGUGUGCCAUGGUAGAUGGUGGUCGAGUUAGAACGAUACCGAUCAUGUGCAUGCUCCCCAAAAUAUGGCCUCUAUGACCCACACGCGUCUUUUGACGCUCAUGACGAGACCUCAGGUCAGGCGGGGCUACCCGCUGAAUUUAAGCAUAUCAAUAAGCGGAGGA
This 395-nucleotide unclassified non-coding RNA is filed under the name soil metagenome. RNAcentral's name for it is "partial contains 5.8S ribosomal RNA, internal transcribed spacer 2, and large subunit ribosomal RNA". The stretch from base 1 to 122 matches the Rfam family "5.8S ribosomal RNA", at positions 35 to 154 of the family's 154-position model. The record is from RNAcentral.